ACUAAGCCAUGCGAGUCGAGAGGGUUCGGCCCUCGGCUGACGGCUCAGUAACACGUGGAUAAUCUACCCUAAGGUGGAGGAUAAUCUCGGGAAACUGAGAAUAAUACUCCAUAAGUCUAGGAUACUGGAGUGUACUUAGGCUGAAAACUUCGGUGCCCUAGGAUGAGUCUGCGGACUAUCAGGUUGUAGUCAGGGUAAAGACCUGACUAGCCUACGACGGAUAUGGGUUGUGAGAGCAAUAACCCGGAGAUGAUAUCUGAGACACGAUAUCAGGCCCUACGGGGCGCAGCAGGCGCGAAAACUUCACACUGCGCGAAAGCGCGAUGAGGGAAUCCCAAGUGCUUGCACGUAAGUGUAAGCUGUUUCUAUGUCUAAAAGCAUAGAGAGUAAGAGCUGGGUAAGACGGGUGCCAGCCGCCGCGGUAAUACCUGCAGCUCAAGUGGUGGCCGUUAUUAUUGGGCCUAAAACGUCCGUAGCCGGUUUAUUAAAUGCCUGGGUAAAUCGGGCCGCUUAACGGUUCGAAUUCCGGGUAGACUGAUAGACUUGGGACCGGGAGAGGCUAGAGGUACUCCUGGGGUAGAGGUGAAUUCUGUAAUCUAGGGGGACACCAGUGGCGAAGCGUCUAGCUA
This 629-nucleotide ribosomal RNA is filed under the name uncultured archaeon. RNAcentral's name for it is "bacterial SSU rRNA". It matches the Rfam family "Archaeal small subunit ribosomal RNA", at positions 43 to 682 of the family's 1478-position model. The record is from RNAcentral.